GUGUCAGCAGCCGCGGUAAUACGGAGGGGGCAAGCGUUGUUCGGAUUUACUGGGUGUAAAGGGUUCGUAGGCGGCAUUGUAAGUGGGAUGUGAAAUCUCUGAGCUUAACUCAGAAACUGCAUUCCAUACUGCUAAGCUAGAGUACCGCAGAGGUGAAUGGAAUUCUCGGUGUAAGGGUGAAAUCUGCAGAUAUCGAGAAGAACGCCAGUGGUGAAGACGAUUCACUGGGCGGAUACUGACGCUGAGGAACGAAAGCUAGGGGAGCGAACGGGAUUAGAUACCCCAGUAGUCC
This 292-nucleotide ribosomal RNA is filed under the name uncultured bacterium. Its description in RNAcentral is "partial 16S ribosomal RNA". It matches the Rfam family "Bacterial small subunit ribosomal RNA", at positions 505 to 796 of the family's 1533-position model. The record is from RNAcentral.